UCCUGGUUCCCCAGGCAGUCCCACCAGAGUGCCUCCGAAGAGUAGCAACUGAUGGCAAGGGUUGCGCUCGUUAAAGGACUUAACCCAACAUCUCACGACACGAGCUGACGACAGCCAUGCAGCACCUGUGUAACCGUCUGUAUUACUACAGAACCCGAUGUUUCCACCGGUAGCAGUUACAUGUCAAGCCUAGGUAAGGUUCCUCGCGUAGUGUCGAAUUAAACCACAUGUUCCACCGCUUGUGCGGGCCCCCGUCAAUUUCUUUGAGUUUUAAUCUUGCGACCGUACUUCCCAGGCGGAUCACUUAACGCGUUAGCUUCGACACUGAUCCGGCGAACCGAACCAACAUCUAGUGAUCAUCGUUUACAGCGUGGACUAC
This 379-nucleotide unclassified non-coding RNA is filed under the name uncultured bacterium. RNAcentral describes it as "contains 16S-23S intergenic spacer region". The record is from RNAcentral.